RNAcentral lists this transfer RNA (73 nucleotides) under Scriptaphyosemion guignardi. RNAcentral describes it as "tRNA-Asn". The record is from RNAcentral. Lineage: Eukaryota; Metazoa; Chordata; Actinopteri; Cyprinodontiformes; Nothobranchiidae.
UAGAUAGAUGCUUGUAGGUUUAAGCGCUUAGCUGUUAACUAAAAUUUUGUAGGAUCAAAGCCUGCCUGUCUAG